This 497-nucleotide ribosomal RNA is filed under the name uncultured bacterium. Its description in RNAcentral is "partial 16S ribosomal RNA". It matches the Rfam family "Bacterial small subunit ribosomal RNA", at positions 28 to 507 of the family's 1533-position model. The record is from RNAcentral.
GAUGAACGCUGGCGGCGUGCCUAAUACAUGCAAGUCGAGCGAACGGACGAGAAGCUUGCUUCUCUGAUGUUAGCGGCGGACGGGUGAGUAACACGUGGAUAACCUACCUAUAAGACUGGGGUAACUUCGGGAAACCGGAGCUAAUACCGGAUGAUAUUUUGAACCGCAUGGUUCAAAAGUGAAAGACGGUCUUGCUGUCACUUAUAGAUGGAUCCGCGCUGCAUUAGCUAGUUGGUAAGGUAACGGCUUACCAAGGCAACGAUGCAUAGCCGACCUGAGAGGGUGAUCGGCCACACUGGAACUGAGACACGGUCCAGACUACUACGGGAGGCAGCAGUAGGGAAUCUUCCGCAAUGGGCGAAAGCCUGACGGAGCAACGCCGCGUGAGUGAUGAAGGUCUUCGGAUCGUAAAACUCUGUUAUUAGGGAAGAACAUAUGUGUAAGUAACUGUGCACAUCUUGACGGUACCUAAUCAGAAAGCCACGGCUAACUACGUG